RNAcentral lists this ribosomal RNA (459 nucleotides) under uncultured bacterium. Its description in RNAcentral is "bacterial SSU rRNA". It matches the Rfam family "Bacterial small subunit ribosomal RNA", at positions 383 to 832 of the family's 1533-position model. The record is from RNAcentral.
GUGACGAAGUGACGCCGCGUGGGUGAGGAAGGCCCUCGGGUUGUAAAACCCUGUCAGGAGUUAAGAAACAUAAGUGCGCUAAUAUCGCAUUUAUUUGACGAAGGCUCCAAAGGAAGCCACGGCUAACUCUGUGCCAGCAGCCGCGGUAAUACAGAGGUGGCAAGCGUUGUCCGGAAUUAUUGGGCGUAAAGAGCACGUAGGUGGGUUUGUAAGUCAGAUGUGAAAGCCUUCUGUCCAACGGAAGAAUUGCAUCUGAAACUGCAAGUCUUGAGUGUAGGAGGGGAGAAUGGAACUCCUGGUGGAGCGGUGAAAUGCGUAGAUAUCAGAAGGAACGCCGGCGGCGAAAGCGAUUCUCUGGCCUAUUACUGACACUCAGUGUGCGAAAGCUAGGGGAGCAAACGGGAUUAGAUACCCCGGUAGUCCUAGCCGUAAACGAUGGGCACUAAGUAGAGGGGUUUU